Molecule: ribosomal RNA, 621 nt
Filed under: uncultured bacterium
Lineage: Bacteria
Description: bacterial SSU rRNA
Rfam family: Bacterial small subunit ribosomal RNA
Source: RNAcentral
CGUGGGUGACCUACCUUCGAAUGGGGGAUAACGUCCCGAAAGGGACGCUAAUACCGCAUAACAUCCUGCUUUUGAACAAGUGGAGAUCAAAGCCGGGGAUCGCAAGACCUGGCGUUUGAAGAGGGGCCCGCGUCUGAUUAGCUAGUUGGUGAGGUAAUGGCCCACCAAGGCGACGAUCAGUAUCCGGCCUGAGAGGGCGGACGGACACACUGGGACUGAGACACGGCCCAGACUCUCCUACGGGAGGCAGCAGUGGGGAAUUGUUCGCAAUGGGCGCAAGCCUGACGACGCAACGCCGCGUGGAGGAUGAAGGUCUUCGGAUUGUAAACUCCUGUUGCCCGGGACGAAACGCUUCGACCUAACACGUCGAAGUCUGACGGUACCGGGUGAGGAAGCCCCGGCUAACUCUGUGCCAGCAGCCGCGGUAAUACAGAGGGGGCAAGCGUUGUUCGGAAUUACUGGGCGUAAAGGGCGCGUAGGCGGCCUGCUAAGUCGAACGUGAAAUCCCCGGGCUCAACCCGGGAAACUGCGUCCGAUACUGGUUGGCUUGAAUCCCGGGAGAGGGAUGCGGAAUUCCAGGUGUAGCGGUGAAGUGCGUAGAUAUCUGGAGGACACCGGUGG